CGUACCUACGGGACGCAGCAGUGAGGAAUAUUGGUCAAUGGGCGGAAGCCUGAACCAGCCAAGUCGCGUGAGGGAAUAAGGCCCUACGGGUCGUAAACCUCUUUUGCCGGGGAGCAAGGGCCGGGACGCGUCCCGGCCCGGAGAGUACCCGGAGAAAAAGCAUCGGCUAACUCCGUGCCAGCAGCCGCGGUAAUACGGAGGAUGCGAGCGUUAUCCGGAUUUACUGGGUGUAAAGGGAGCGUAGACGGCACUGCAAGUCCGGAGUGAAAGCCCAAGGCUUAACCAUGGGACUGCUCUGGAGACUG
RNAcentral lists this ribosomal RNA (305 nucleotides) under uncultured bacterium. RNAcentral describes it as "bacterial SSU rRNA". It matches the Rfam family "Bacterial small subunit ribosomal RNA", at positions 332 to 635 of the family's 1533-position model. The record is from RNAcentral.